Molecule: ribosomal RNA, 765 nt
Filed under: Triticum aestivum (bread wheat)
Lineage: Eukaryota; Viridiplantae; Streptophyta; Magnoliopsida; Poales; Poaceae
Description: partial small subunit ribosomal RNA
Source: RNAcentral
AUGGCGCUAGCGGCUAACGCCCAUGGAAGAGUCUGCACCCUCUCCUCCAGGCCGCCAACACCUUUCGGCAGCAGGAGCAUGGUCACCAUGCCUGGACACCACGUCCAAGCUCGGUUCGCGGUCCGGGCGACCGCGGAGCGCGCGACAUGGCUGCCGGGGCUGGACCCGCCGGCGUACCUCGACGGCACGCUGCCUGGUGACUACGGGUUUGAUCCCCUGGGGCUCGGGGAGCAGCCUGAGGACUUGAAGUGGUACGUCCAGGCGGAGCUCGUGCACUGCCGGUUCGCCAUGGCAGGGGUUGCCGGCAUCCUUGGAACCGAUUUGAUCCGUGUAUCAGGACUCGGCAACCUACCCGUGUGGUUUGAAGCAGGUGCCACGAAAUUUGACUUUGCCAACACCACAGCACUCUUCUUUGUCCAGCUUCUCUUGAUGGGAUUUGUCGAAACCAAGAGGUACAUGGACUUCGUUAAUCCAGGAUCACAAGCAAAGGAAGGGACAUUCCUUGGGAUAGAAGCUUCACUCGAAGGUUUACAGCCAGGAUACCCUGGGGGGCCACUAUUUAACCCAAUGGGACUCGCCAAAGAUAUAGAGAAUGCGAAUGAAGUGAAGCUGAAAGAAAUAAAGAAUGGGAGGUUGGCAAUGGUUGCUAUGCUUGGAUUUAUUGUGCAAGCGUCUGUGACUCAUGCUGGGCCCAUCGAGAAUCUUUUGACACAUCUUUCAGACCCGUUCAACAAAAAUAUCAUUCAUGCACUAACCUUGUCUUGA